Molecule: ribosomal RNA, 254 nt
Filed under: uncultured bacterium
Lineage: Bacteria
Description: partial 16S ribosomal RNA
Rfam family: Bacterial small subunit ribosomal RNA
Source: RNAcentral
UACGGAGGGUGCGAGCGUUGUCCGGAAUCACUGGGCGUAAAGGGCGCGUAGGCGGCCCGCGCACGCGUGCGGUGAAAGCCCGGGGCUCAACCCCGGGUCGGCCGUGCGGACUGCGGGGCUCGAGCACUGUAGGGGCAGAUGGAAUUCCGGGUGUAGCGGUGGAAUGCGUAGAGAUCCGGAAGAACACCGGUGGCGAAGGCGGUCUGCUGGGCAGUAGCUGACGCUGAGGCGCGACAGCGUGGGGAGCAAACAGG